ACCGCUCAGUGGCUCGGACCG
RNAcentral lists this microRNA (21 nucleotides) under Human betaherpesvirus 5. Its description in RNAcentral is "hcmv-miR-US25-1". The record is from RNAcentral. Lineage: Duplodnaviria; Heunggongvirae; Peploviricota; Herviviricetes; Herpesvirales; Orthoherpesviridae.